CCUACGGGAGGCAGCAGUGAGGAAUAUUGGUCAAUGGACGCAAGUCUGAACCAGCCAUGCCGCGUGCAGGAUGACGGCUCUAUGAGUUGUAAACCGCUUUUGUACGAGGGUAAACCUCGAUACGUGUACCGGGUUGAAAGUAUCGCACGAAUAAGGAUUGGCUAACCCCGUGCCAGCAGGCGGGGUAAUACGGAGGAUCCGAGCGUUAUCCGGAUUUAUUGGGGUUAAAGGGUGCGUAGGCGGGUUGAUAAGUUCGGGGGGAAAUGUCGGGGCUCAACCCCGAAACUGCCUCUAAUACUGGUGGACUAGAGGAUGGUUGAGGUAGGGGGAAUGUGUGGUGUAGCGGUGAAAUGCUUAGAGAUCAUACAGAACACCGAUUGCGAAGGCAGCUUACC
Molecule: ribosomal RNA, 395 nt
Filed under: uncultured bacterium
Lineage: Bacteria
Description: partial 16S ribosomal RNA
Rfam family: Bacterial small subunit ribosomal RNA
Source: RNAcentral